AAGCAAGAAGAUAAAACGUUUUCAAAAAUAACCUCAAAAGGCAAAAAGGAGCGCUAUAAGAUGGGAACAAUUAUUUGUCAAACAUGCAGUGACACAAUUGAGUAUUUUGAUGAUGAGAAAGUAUCAACGCUUUACGGAACGUGCCAAUAUUGUGAGGAAAAAGAUAAAUAGAAUAAUAGAAUCAUAAAAUAAAAAAGCUCUGCAUUUGCAGAGCUUUUUUAUUUU
Molecule: small RNA, 225 nt
Filed under: Priestia endophytica
Lineage: Bacteria; Bacillati; Bacillota; Bacilli; Caryophanales; Bacillaceae
Description: Bacillus endophyticus SR1 sRNA
Rfam family: SR1 sRNA
Source: Rfam by way of RNAcentral